GGAUUAGAUACCCUGGUAGUCCACGCCGUAAACGAUGUGUGCUAGUUGUCGGACCCUUAGGGUUCGGUGACGGAGCGAAAGUAUUAAGCACACCGCCUGGGGAGUACGGCCGCAAGGUUAAAACUCAAAGGAAUUGACGGGGACCCGCACAAGCGGUGGAGCAUGUUGUUUAAUUCGAAGCAACGCGAAGAACCUUACCCACACUUGACAUCCUUCUUGGGACUUUCAGAGAUGAUUGUCUUCGGUUCGGCCGGGGAAGUGACAGGUGCUGCAUGGCUGUCGUCAGCUCGUGCCG
RNAcentral lists this ribosomal RNA (295 nucleotides) under uncultured bacterium. RNAcentral's name for it is "partial 16S ribosomal RNA". It matches the Rfam family "Bacterial small subunit ribosomal RNA", at positions 775 to 1067 of the family's 1533-position model. The record is from RNAcentral.